CCUUAGAGUUUGAUCCUGGCUCAGGACCCUUGCUGGCGGCGCGCCUAACACAUGCAAGUCGAACGGAGUCAAGAGGAGCUUGCUUUUCUUGACUUAGUGGCGAACGGGUGAGUAACGCGUGAGUAACCUGCCCUGGAGUGGGGGACAACAGUUGGAAACGACUGCUAAUACCGCAUAAGCCCACGGAUCCGCAUGGAUCUGCGGGAAAAGGAUUUAUUCGCUUCAGGAUGGACUCGCGUCCAAUUAGCUAGUUGGUGAGGUAACGGCCCACCAAGGCGACGAUUGGUAGCCGGACUGAGAGGUUGAACGGCCACAUUGGGACUGAGACACGGCCCAGACUCCUACGGGAGGCAGCAGUGGGGGAUAUUGCACAAUGGGGGAAACCCUGAUGCAGCGACGCCGCGUGGAGGAAGAAGGUUUUCGGAUUGUAAACUCCUGUCGUUAGGGACGAUAAUGACGGUACCUAACAAGAAAGCACCGGCUAACUACGUGCCAGCAGCCGCGGUAAAACGUAGGGUGCAAGCGUUGUCCGGAAUUACUGGGUGUAAAGGGAGCGCAGGCGGACCGGCAAGUUGGAAGUGAAAACUAUGGGCUCAACCCAUAAAUUGCUUUCAAAACUGCUGGCCUUGAGUAGUGCAGAGGUAGGUGGAAUUCCCGGUGUAGCGGUGGAAUGCGUAGAUAUCGGGAGGAACACCAGUGGCGAAGGCGACCUACUGGGCACCAACUGACGCUGAGGCUCGAAAGCAUGGGUAGCAAACAGGAUUAGAUACCCUGGUAGUCCAUGCCGUAAACGAUGAUUACUAGGUGUGGGGGGAUUGACCCCUUCAGUGCCGCAGUUAACACAAUAAGUAAUCCACCUGGGGAGUACGACCGCAAGGUUGAAACUCAAAGGAAUUGACGGGGGCCCGCACAAGCAGUGGAGUAUGUGGUUUAAUUCGAAGCAACGCGAAGAACCUUACCAGGUCUUGACAUCCGAUGCAUAGUGCAGAGAUGCAUGAAGUCCUUCGGGACAUCGAGACAGGUGGUGCAUGGUUGUCGUCAGCUCGUGUCGUGAGAUGUUGGGUUAAGUCCCGCAACGAGCGCAACCCUUAUUGCCAGUUACUACGAAAGAGGACUCUGGCGAGACUGCCGUUGACAAAACGGAGGAAGGUGGGGAUGACGUCAAAUCAUCAUGCCCUUAUGACCUGGGCUACACACGUACUACAAUGGCGUUUAACAAAGAGAAGCAAGACCGCGAGGUGGAGCAAAACUCAAAAACAACGUCUCAGUUCAGAUUGCAGGCUGCAACUCGCCUGCAUGAAGUCGGAAUUGCUAGUAAUCGCGGAUCAGCAUGCCGCGGUGAAUACGUUCCCGGGCCUUGCACUCACCGCCCGUCA
This 1376-nucleotide ribosomal RNA is filed under the name uncultured bacterium. Its description in RNAcentral is "bacterial SSU rRNA". It matches the Rfam family "Bacterial small subunit ribosomal RNA". The record is from RNAcentral.